UAAUUGACAGCACCAGGACGGUUGANUAACUGCCUACAGAAUCNGCCUAGNGGNGGGCCGGNAACGUUCGGAAACGGACGCUAAUACCGCAUACGUCCUACGGGAGAAAGCGGGGGAUCUUCGGGCCUCGCGCCAUUAGAUGAGCCUAGGUCGGAUUAGCUAGUUGGUGAGGUAAUGGCUCACCAAGGCUACGAUCCGUAACUGGUCUGAGAGGAUGAUCAGUCACACUGGAACUGAGACACGGUCCAGACUCCUACGGGAGGCAGCAGUGGGGAAUAUUGGACAAUGGGCGAAAAGCCUGAUCCAGCCAUGCCGCGUGUGUGAAGAAGGUCUUCGGAUUGUAAAGCACUUUAAGUNUGGGGAGGAACGGAAGUAACCCUAAUCGUACUUGNUUUGACGUU
This 401-nucleotide ribosomal RNA is filed under the name Pseudomonas sp. '7.5 MW-11'. Its description in RNAcentral is "bacterial SSU rRNA". It matches the Rfam family "Bacterial small subunit ribosomal RNA", at positions 85 to 476 of the family's 1533-position model. The record is from RNAcentral. Lineage: Bacteria; Pseudomonadati; Pseudomonadota; Gammaproteobacteria; Pseudomonadales; Pseudomonadaceae.